ACUCACGCUGGCGGCGUGCUUAACCCAUGCAAGUCGAACGGAAAGGCCCUGCUUUUGUGGGGUGCUCGAGUGGCGAACGGGUGAGUAACACGUGAGUAACCUGCCCUUGACUUUGGGAUAACUUCAGGAAACUGGGGCUAAUACCGGAUAGGAGCUCCUGCUGCAUGGUGGGGGUUGGAAAGUUUCGGCGGUUGGGGAUGGACUCGCGGCUUAUCAGCUUGUUGGUGGGGUAGUGGCUUACCAAGGCUUUGACGGGUAGCCGGCCUGAGAGGGUGACCGGCCACAUUGGGACUGAGAUACGGCCCAGACUCCUACGGGAGGCAGCAGUGGGGAAUAUUGCACAAUGGGCGGAAGCCUGAUGCAGCAACGCCGCGUGCGGGAUGACGGCCUUCGGGUUGUAAACCGCUUUCGCCUGUGACGAAGCGUGAGUGACGGUAAUGGGUAAAGAAGCACCGGCUAACUACGUG
This 467-nucleotide ribosomal RNA is filed under the name uncultured bacterium. RNAcentral describes it as "partial 16S ribosomal RNA". It matches the Rfam family "Bacterial small subunit ribosomal RNA", at positions 33 to 507 of the family's 1533-position model. The record is from RNAcentral.